UACAGAAACAGAAUGGUAAAACAAAAACCAAAAAAUCACAAAAAGUUGAGAGUAAAUUUUAUCUUUAUUAUCUAACAGGGUAGAACAUAAUUAUUGUGACCCUACUUUGAAAAUAACAGAACACAGGAGUUUAAAUGAGAGUUUUCAGAAAGGAGAAGUGGAGACUUAAAUUAUGAAUAAUUUUUGUAGCAAGCCAUAAAAGAGGAAAUAUAAAUGGCAAAUAAACCUUUGUUUCUUCAUAGAAUUAUGAAGCAAAAUGGACUAUAUCCUUGGGUAUCUUAAGAAACUCUCCAGUUUGGCAGAGGAAGAAUUGUGCUUCUUUAAAGGAGGAGACAAAAAUCGCAGGUGAAAGGCACCUUCUCUGUAUCAGGAGGAAAAAAGACAUCACCAGAGAUGGGAAGUUAAGGCUGAGAGAAAUCUGUACCAGUGAGCUUGUUAAACUAACCCUCAUCUUCCUCGUCACAUUUCCAGAAAUCACUGCACUGGCUCAAACCCCUUGGCCUUGUCACGUCUUCACAGUUUACCAUCCUUUGUCCAACCCAAGCCAUAAGCUCUAAUUGCUUCUCCUGGGAAGCUGCCCAUGUAUAU
This 588-nucleotide long non-coding RNA is filed under the name Capra hircus (goat). RNAcentral's name for it is "lncRNA (ENSCHIG00000007246.1)". Lineage: Eukaryota; Metazoa; Chordata; Mammalia; Artiodactyla; Bovidae. The record is from RNAcentral.